AGUGAACGCUGGCGGUAGGCCUAACACAUGCAAGUCGAACGGCAGCACAAUAAGAGCUUGCUCUUACGGGUGGCGAGUGGCGGACGGGUGAGGAAUACAUCGGAAUCUACUUUUUCGUGGGGGAUAACGUAGGGAAACUUACGCUAAUACCGCAUACGACCUACGGGUGAAAGCAGGGGAUCUUCGGACCUUGCGCGAUUGAAUGAGCCGAUUUCGGAUUAGCUAGUUGGCGGGGUAAAGGCCCACCAAGGCGACGAUCCGUAGCUGGUCUGAGAGGAUGAUCAGCCACACUGGAACUGAGACACGGUCCAGACUCCUACGGGAGGCAGCAGUGGGGAAUAUUGGACAAUGGGCGCAAGCCUGAUCCAGCCAUACCGCGUGGGUGAAGAAGGCCUUCGGGUUGUAAAGCCCUUUUGUUGGGAAAGAAAAGCAGCAGGUUAAUACCCCGCUGUUCUGACGGUACCCAAAGAAUAAGCACCGGCUAACUUCGUG
RNAcentral lists this ribosomal RNA (492 nucleotides) under uncultured bacterium. RNAcentral describes it as "partial 16S ribosomal RNA". It matches the Rfam family "Bacterial small subunit ribosomal RNA", at positions 29 to 507 of the family's 1533-position model. The record is from RNAcentral.